CCUACGGGAGGCAGCAGUGGGGAAUAUUGCACAAUGGGGGAAACCCUGAUGCAGCGACGCCGCGUGAGUGAAGAAGUAUUUCGGUAUGUAAAGCUCUAUCAGCAGGAACGAGACAAGACGGUACCUGACUAAGAAGACCCGGCUAACUACGUGCCAGCAGCCGCGGUAAUACGUAGGGGGCAAGCGUUAUCCGGAAUCACUGGGGGGAAAGGGAGCGUAGACGGCUGAGCAAGACUGAAGUGAAAGGCGGGGGCCCAACCCCCGGACUGCUUUGGGAACUGUACGGCUGGAGUGCAGGAGAGGUAAGUGGAAUUCCUAGUGUAGCGGUGAAAUGCGUAGAUAUUAGGAGGAACACCAGUGGCGAAGGCGGCUUACUGGACUGUAACUGACGUUGAGGCUCGAAAGCGUGGGGAGCAAACAGGAUUAGAUACCCUGGUAGUC
Molecule: ribosomal RNA, 441 nt
Filed under: uncultured bacterium
Lineage: Bacteria
Description: partial 16S ribosomal RNA
Rfam family: Bacterial small subunit ribosomal RNA
Source: RNAcentral